Molecule: long non-coding RNA, 468 nt
Filed under: Homo sapiens (human)
Lineage: Eukaryota; Metazoa; Chordata; Mammalia; Primates; Hominidae
Description: long intergenic non-protein coding RNA 1524
Source: RNAcentral
GCUCCAGGUAAAUCCUGGUCCUUCUUGGUGGCUGUAUGAUCUUAAGUAAGCCCAUUUUGCUUCAAUUUUCUUAUCUAGAAAAUGGGGAUAAUAACACCCAUGUUAUAGAGUUAUUCUGAUGAUUUCUAAGAGUCUCAGAGACCUAGGAUCCACAAAAUCAAAACAACAAAACCAAGCCUUUGUGCACAUCUGUGGUUGUGACCAGUUGGAGAGACAUUAGGAGAUGAGAUACUAUGUUCACUCCUCACAGCUGUACCAGGGACCUGAGAUAUUCCGUCACUAUUCUAUGAAUGGUCUGGCUUGAUGAUAUCCAACCUGACGUGGCCUGAAGAGACAGACAGUGGCUCUUGCUAGCUAAUUAUUGUCAGAUGGAUCGGCAGCCGACCAACGCUUCUGAAACUAUUGUUUUUGGCAAAUGUUCCUCAACAUUUUCCUGGUAUAUAAAUAAUGAUCCCUUGCAGAAAGUCA